AGACGCUUUAUCCCCCCAUGCAAGUCGGCAUACAUCCCCAAAAUAAUCCUCUGUUUUCCAUGGAUAAAACAGAGUUCCUAUACCCCCUAGAAGAGCACCCCAACCCGCAAGCUACCCCCAUCUCCAUGAGCGAAUUCCAUGACCAACCCACGCCGUAAGCCCUCAAAAAACUGUCCCCUCAGAAGACCAAAACCGAACGGUCAGGAACACCCACCAUUUGAAACCGGAAUCCUCCAUCUCCACCAUGGAAUAUCCCUCCGCCCAGCUGGGUGAUAUGUUAAGGAAGAAGACUCGGAAACAAAACACCUGGUGAUGAACAUAACACAGCCAAACAGCUUUAUUAUAAAGGAAAACUAGUGACUUAGAACCAAAAGCAAAAGGAAAAAAGGAGGAGGGAGGGAGGAGCCGAAGCUCCACGCCCCAAGCCCCACGCAGUACCCCGUAAAAGGGUUACGUUUUUCCCUCGCCGCGACCAAAUAUCCAGUGCCGCUGUGAAUUCGUCGCGCCUCACGUCACCGCCGACACCGAGCUCGCCAUGCGUCGUCUCCUCUGCCGUCGCCUGAAACAGAGGACUUCUUGUGCCGGCCCCAUCCGCCCUAUAUUAACCACGGAUCCGUCUCUCUCUAUAAAACCCCUCUCUCACUCUAUCCCUCACUCUGCUGACUUUGUAUUACAAUGGGAGAAGUUAAAUCAUCGCAAGACCGUGUUGAACCAACUACGUAGGAGGUUUAAUUCUUUUCACUACGAGUUGCACAAGAUCUACAACAGCUAUGGAAGUCAUAAAAUGGCGUUGGCAAAAGGCACUGAUUUGGUGGAUGCAGAGGUGUGGAAGACUUUAUGCGAUAGGUGGGGUAGCAAGGACUUCUACUCUAUCCGUCUCAUGCUUUCAUUAUAGGGUUCUUGCCAACGUUGUUUUAGAGGUCACAAUGGCCCAGUCUCUAUCUUGUCCGAUAAAUUGUUAGGUGAGGUUGGUGGAAAAGUAUUGGCAAGUGGAGGUGAAGAUGCUACUGUUUGCCUUUGGUCCCUUAACUCUAGUUGCAAGUGUGGCCAGCAGGCGCUAAAGGCUACUCUGUAUGGGCAUGAAAAACCUGUGAAGUUAAUGUCAGUUGCUGGGUAUGAGUUUUCAAUGAUUAAAACUUAAUAAAUGUGACUUUAUUAUUUGAUGCUAACUAUCUUUUAGGUUUUAAUAUUGUGCACCAAGUAAAAUGGAAUCUUUAUGUUGGGGGUGACCAUUUCUUGUUAUUAAACUGAUCUAUUCUUGCUUUCAUCAUUCUUCCGGGCAUAAAACUUCUCUUUUGGUGACCAUUUCGAAAAGUUCCAAGGUACCUCCAGUUCAUAUUAUUGCCGUUAUUGUUAAUGCUUGUAACAAUAAGCCAUUGGACUUGUUAUUUGGUCAGCUAUUUUAUUAUGCAUGUUAAGAUAUGGAACUAGUACUUAUUUAUGUCAUAGCUUCUGACAUACAUGACAUUUAAUCCUUCUUGAUCACCACGUCAUCACUACGUCAUUCUCUGUUUCUUUCUUGAUUUGUAUGAACUCUCUGUUUACUUGAGUAAGAUGGUUGACCGAUCCCCAGGGAACAUGGGGGUAUCUCGCCCUCAACUUAGGGGAAGAAGAUGAAUAAGCUUCGUUUUCAUUUUUGCUACAUUUGCUUUGAAUUUGGAAUGAAAAAAAUAUUGCAACCGUGUAGUAUUAGUCUUCAAGAUGAUGAGGUGUAGGAGCGGUACACGUUGAUUUUUACGACUAAACAUGCAAACUCUGUUGAGAACCAUAAAUCUUCACAUGUAACUCUCUUUCUUGUGCCAGGAGAAUUCUAUGCUUUGCCUCCAAUUCCACAACUGUUUAAGCAGAUGUUAAUAUUCUUUGGUACUAAUUUUCUAGCAAUAUUCAAUGAAGUUUGUGAUUCAAGUUUUUAUCUCAUCUCUACAUAUGUUUUUGAGAUGAAAAUCUCCUUUGGGGGACAAGUUUUACCCGGCUAGAUAUUGAAAUGGCUUUCACGCCUUUGGAGGACAAUAUUUCUGCAAGUAGGACUUAAUGUGCUUUGUACUUUGAUGUGACUUGAGAAGUCUAAAGUUGCACAUGACAAAUAUAAUGUAGUUGCUUUAUGCAUUCUAAUAUAAUGUAAUUGCUUAGAAUAUAAAGCAAGUACUUUGUGUAAUUGUUUUAUGGAUUGUAAUAUAACGUAAGAUGUGUAAUUUUUUUUUUUUUAUGCAUUUUGUUUCAAUAUUAUUAUUUAUUUUGUAACACAAUAUUUUCGGGGAUCUAGAAUCGUGGGAAAUAAUUAACUCUCUGUCACUACUACUUAUUUGCGGCAACUAUCAUUGCUGCAAAUAUCUAUUUGGGACCACACAAAUUUUUACACCAUUUGCUGCAGAAUAUAUGACGUUAUGGUUGGAAAUUAUUAUUUGCAGCGAUUAUACUGCUGCAAAUAAACAUGGGUGACUAUUUAUAAUUUGUGGUCGCAAAUAAGUAUUUGCUGCGUUAUAAUCGCAGCAAAUGAGUAUUUGCUGUGGUUUAACAAGAAUUUGCGACCAAAUCUCAAUAUUAUAGCUGACCAUUUCCGGCAAGAAAAAAUCGUCACGAAAAGUUCUAUUGGCAAUAAUUAACCUUGGUUGGUGCUUUUUUGUGAUGAAAUUUUAGACUAUUUGCUGCGUUAUGGAUCGCCGCAAUAGUUCAUAGAUUUCGUGACGCUUUUUUGUAUCGCUGUUAAAAACUUUUUGAGAUGUAGUACCGACCAUCUAGCGGCGAAAGAGCUUGGACGCCAAAAAUCAUUUGCGGUGCAAUUUGACGUUUUUGCGACGAUUAUUUUCGCCGCAAAAAUCUAAAUUUGAAGAUCCCAAACCAAGAGGAGCAAUGCUGUUAGAACUGUGAAUUAGCAUCAUUCGAAGACAAAUGCAUCCCGCAUUCUUUAACUUUCACUUCCACUUCUAUUUGUAACAUUCACUACUUUCUGUACAUAGACUACAUAUUGUAUAUAUAUUAGAAGACUCCCUAUACUCUCACAUUGUGUGACACAUUUCCACAUACAGUUAGUUCACAAUUGUCUUUAUGGCAUCUAGAGACAUUGUGAGAGCAAGAGAGUCUUACUCCCAUGGCAGCCAUUUCACUAUCUGUCAAUAACUUUUACGGUUGAACCAUGGAAAUUAUCCCCUAUGGAGAGAACAAGUCGUGCCCUUGGUUGAGAGCCACGACCUCAUGAACCACCUCACCAAUUCUGUUUCUCCACCGAUGACUUAACAACAAUCACCCACAAAGAAAUCAACCCCACUUACCUACAAUGGUGGAAGGAGGAUUGAUUGCUUUGGGGUUGGAUCAUCGGUACACUGUCCGAGGAAUCAUUUGGCUUAGUUGUAGGGCUUGAAACUUCCUACCAAGUUUGUCAUGUUCUUCAAGAGGCCUAUGCUCAGGAGUCCCAAGAAAGAGAAUUUCAACUUACUCAAUCACUCACCUACAUGCGGAAGGAGGCGUCGGUUUUGUUACAGGACCAUCUUAGAAACUUCAAAACUGUAUGUGAUAAUCUAGCAGGAAUUGGUCGACAAAUUGAAGGUGUUCGCCCUUCUCAACGGCCUUGGACCGAAGUACGAACCCUUCAGCACACCAUGCUCAAGGCGCCGAUGCCUUCUUAUGCUGAGGUUGUGUCACUGCUACAGGGGUUUGAUACACGAACCCAACUUCACGAGACCUACAACGCACAAAGUUAUGUGUUUUAUGGCCCAAAUGCAAGGAACGGGAAUUCUAAACCGAAGUACUUCUCAUCCCGUGGAUGUGGCUUCUCCCAAGCCAAUCACGUGUCACGCCCAAAUCCCUCUCCCAGUGGGACACAACACAACUCUGCCCCAAAUAAUGUAUGUGACUCUUCUUGGGAAAAUACUCGCAUGGAGACUUGUCAAAUUUGCGGAAAAAAGGGGCAUAUUGCUUUAAAAUGCUGGCGCCAGUUUGAUCACGCUCUUCAGCCUGAUGACAUUCCUCAAGCAUUGGCUGCCAUGACACUUGAAAAUGGCAUUCAUGAUGCUGAGUGAUUGUACCACACUUGAAAAUGGGAUAGUCAGGUAGCUCUGAAAUUCAAGCAUAGAAACAGUAAAGGCUGCAACUAUGGUCCACCAUAUGAGUGGCAAGUGUACAACACUCUUGGUGCUAGUCAUGUAGUGCCAAACGUACACUAUAAAGGGAGGCAAGGAGACUAUUAUGUUAUGGUUAUGGACAUGCUAGGUCCCAGCUUGUGGGAUGUUUGGAAUACUUCAGGGUAGGCGGAAAGUUCCGAGGGCGUGAUGCAUGGGACUGGGGUUUACUUUGCUGGGGGGUCCGAAGGGCCCUGCCUUGGAGAGGUUCCCCGACAUAAAAAAAAAAAAAAAUGUUUAGAGGAACCGUUCGAUAUGCUAGUGUUCACGCUCACCUGGGAAGAACUGCUAGUAGAAGAGAUGAUCUUGAGUCUUGCGUAUACACUCAUCUUUCUCCAUCGAGGCAGGCUGCCUUGGCAAGGCUAUCAGGGAGAUAACAAAUCAUUUCUAGUUUGCAAAAAAAAAGAUGGCAACCUCUCCUGAAAUGCUAUGCUGCUUCUGCCCGCCACCUCUUAAGCAAUUUCUUGAGAUUGUGGUGAACAUGAAAUUUGAUGAGGAGCCUAACUAUGCCUAGCUAAUAUCUUUGUUCGAGGGCUUAUUAGGCCCUAAUCCGGCUUUAAGGCCAAUAAGCACUGAUGAUGCUCAAAAGGUUGGUCAAAAACAGGGUAGGUUGAAUAUUGAGGAUGAUGAUGAUGGGCAGCCCAAGAAGAAGGUUCGAUUAGGAGUUCCUGCUACACAGUGGAUUUCAGUUUUCAAUGCUAGGCUACCAAUGAAACAGAGGGUCUGUAUUCUUCUGCAAUUGAUGCUCUAAAAUGUUUCACGUGGUGUAUCAACUCAAUCGCAUAGAAUGGGCGCACAAAAGCUUGAAUUAGACUAGCCUCUUCAUAUCCACCUAUCGAAAAGAUGAAGAAGAAGAAGAAGCUUGAUUUAGAUUUUUUAGAUACUAAUCUUGAGAGCCAAAAAAUCCUAUGUUAUGGUAUGAAGUUUGAUUGGCAACGCUACCAAUCAAAAAAAGUUUGAGCGGCAACACUACCGAUAAAAAGUUUUCUCUGAAGAUGAUUUGGUUCCUUAUUACUUCUAGAUUUUGCCUCCUGACUCUUUCAUUCAAUAAAUUAAACAAAGCUUGGAGAAGGUUAGCUGGUAGCAGUCCAAUUGCAGUAGUGUGGAAAAUGGUUUCUACUUGCCCCAUAGAGUUUAUUUGGAGGGAAAGAAAGCAAAAGAAGUUUUGAUGGAUUGUGGACGGAUAAUGCAGGAGCUAAAGAAUUUCUUUCUCAAAACUAUACUGCUUUUGGACAAUUUCUAUAGACUUCAGUAGGCUUAAUUUACAUGAUUUUUUUGUAUAUUUUUUUCUUUAUAGAUAGGUGAAUGACUCGUAUGUCACGUGUACUUAGAUUGUGCCUUUUGCGCUUUUAUGAUAGUUCUCUUAUUACUUGCCAAAAAAGAAAAAGUUAAGAUAAGCCUGAUUUUUAAUGUGUAAGAGUAGUGUCAUAAACAGCCUAAAAGGGGGAACAGUAGUGUACAAGAGGGUUCCCCAUGCUAAGCUAAGCCUGAUAGGGUCAUUAAAUUGAUUAAGUGAGCACCAUGCUCUUUCAAAUCACGAGGGUAUUAACAAAGAAAUUCUAUUACUCAACAAGGCCAAGGUUAUUAAUAAAAUCACGAGGUACCGUCCUCUUUCAAA
This is a long non-coding RNA of Carya illinoinensis, 5733 nucleotides long. RefSeq lists it as uncharacterized. The record is from RefSeq and is a predicted model, not a curated record. The transcript is spliced from 11 exons. NCBI's taxonomy places the organism in Eukaryota, Viridiplantae, Streptophyta, Magnoliopsida, Fagales, Juglandaceae.